RNAcentral lists this ribosomal RNA (266 nucleotides) under uncultured Atopobium sp. RNAcentral's name for it is "partial 16S ribosomal RNA". It matches the Rfam family "Bacterial small subunit ribosomal RNA", at positions 91 to 355 of the family's 1533-position model. The record is from RNAcentral. Lineage: Bacteria; Bacillati; Actinomycetota; Coriobacteriia; Coriobacteriales; Atopobiaceae.
UAAAGUGGCGAACGGCUGAGUAACACGUGGGCAACCUGCCCUUUGCACUGGGAUAGCCUCGGGAAACCGAGGUUAAUACCGGAUACUCCAUAUUUGUCGCAUGGCGAAUAUGGGAAAAGCUCCGGCGGCAAAGGAUGGGCCCGCGGCCUGUUAGCUAGUUGGUGGGGUAGUGGCCUACCAAGGCAAUGAUGGGUAGCCGGGUUGAGAGACCGACCGGCCAGAUUGGGACUGAGACACGGCCCAGACUCCUACGGGAGGCAGCAGCC